GAUGAACGCUGGCGGCGUGCCUAAUACAUGCAAGUCGAGCGAACAGACGAGGAGCUUGCUCCUCUGACGUUAGCGGCGGACGGGUGAGUAACACGUGGAUAACCUACCUAUAAGACUGGGAUAACUUCGGGAAACCGGAGCUAAUACCGGAUAACAUGUUGAACCGCAUGGUUCAACAGUGAAAGACGGUCUUGCUGUCACUUAUAGAUGGAUCCGCGCCGCAUUAGCUAGUUGGUAAGGUAACGGCUUACCAAGGCAACGAUGCGUAGCCGACCUGAGAGGGGGAACCGGCAAACUUGAACUGAGGACCGGUCCCAAAUCCCUACGGGAGCAAGCAGUGGGAAACCUUCCGCAAGGGGCGAAGGCUGAAGGGAGAAAGCCGGCGUGGGUAAAAAAGGUUUUCGGUUCGUAAACCCUUGUAAUUAGGAAAGAAAAAAGGUGUAAGUACCAAUCAAGGUUUGAACGGAACCAAUCAGAAAGCCACGGCUAACUACGUG
This 497-nucleotide ribosomal RNA is filed under the name uncultured bacterium. Its description in RNAcentral is "partial 16S ribosomal RNA". It matches the Rfam family "Bacterial small subunit ribosomal RNA", at positions 28 to 507 of the family's 1533-position model. The record is from RNAcentral.